AGAACGAACGCUGGCGGCGUGUCUUAAGCAUGCAAGUUGAGCGGCAAGGGGUAGCAAUACCCCCUAGAGCGGCGGACUGGUGAGUAACGCAUGGGUGAUCUGCCCUUGGGAUGGGGAUAGCCACUAGAAAUAGUGGGUAAUACCGAAUACGUUCACACUUUCAGAGGUGUGAGGAAAAGCGCUUCGGCGCUGCCCGAGGAUGAGCCCGUGUCCCAUUAGCUGGUUGGUGAGGUAACGGCCCACCAAGGCGAUGAUGGGUAGGCGGCCUGAGAGGGUGUACGCCCACAUUGGGACUGAGAUACGGCCCAAACUCCUACGGGGAGGCAGCAGCUAAGAAUAUUCCGCAAUGGACGAAAGUCUGACGGAGCGACGCCGCGUGGAUGAUGAAGGCCGAAAGGUUGUAAAGUCCUUUUGCUGGGGAAGAAUAAGCAUGGGAGGUAAUGCCCGUGCGAUGACAUGAACCGGCGAAUAAGCCCCGGCUAACUACGUGCCAGCAGCCGCGGUGACACGUAGGGGGCGAGCGUUGUUCGGAAUUACUGGGCGUAAAGGGCAUGUAGGCGGCUUGAUAAGCCUGGCGUGAAAGUCACCGGCUCAACCGGUGGAUUGCGUUGGGAACUGUUGGGCUUGAAUCACGGAGAGGGAGCUAGAAUUCCAGGUGUAGGGGUGAAAUCUGUAGAGAUCUGGAAGAAUACCAGUGGCGAAGGCGAGCUCCUGGCCGAUGAUUGACGCUGAGGUGCGAAAGUGUGGGGAUCAAACAGGAUUAGAUACCCUGGUAGUCCACACUGUCAACGAUGUGCACUAGGUGCUGGGGCGGAUGCUUCAGUCCGGAGCUAACGCGGUAAUGCACCGCCUGGGGAGUAUGCUCCCCAGGUGAACUCAAGAAUUGACGGGGCCCCCACACGGUGACAUGUGGUUAUUCGUAUGGUACGCGAGGAACCUUACCUGGGUUUGACAUACGGAGGAAUGCGGUAGCGAUAUCGCAGCGUAGCAAUACGCUCCGUACAGGUGCUGCAUGGCUGUCGUCAGCUCGUGCCGUGAGGUGUUGGGUUAAGUCCCGCAACGAGCGCAACCCCUACUGCCAGUUACCAACACGUUAAGGUGGGGACUCUGGCGGAACUGCCGGUGACAAACCGGAGAAGGUGGGGAUGACGUCAGUCAUCAUGGCCCUUAUGUCCAGGGCUACACACGUGCUACAAUGGGCGAGACAGAUGACGCGAACCCAGGUGGACAAAUCGCAAAAAUCCCCGUAUUCGGAUUGGAUCUGAAACCCGACUCCAUGAAGGUGGAAUCGCUAGUAAUCGCGCAUCAGCAUGGCGCGGUGAAUACGUUCCCGGGCCUUGUACACACCGCCCGUCACACCAUCCGAGCGGGAGGCCCCGAAGCCGUUAGUCCAACCAGCGAUGGGGGACGACGUCGAAGGUACGUCUCGUAAGGAGGGUG
Molecule: ribosomal RNA, 1440 nt
Filed under: uncultured bacterium
Lineage: Bacteria
Description: bacterial SSU rRNA
Rfam family: Bacterial small subunit ribosomal RNA
Source: RNAcentral